Non-coding RNA from Microcebus murinus (gray mouse lemur), 505 nucleotides. The record is from the annotation of a RefSeq genome assembly. NCBI's taxonomy places the organism in Eukaryota, Metazoa, Chordata, Mammalia, Primates, Cheirogaleidae.
UCUGUGUAUUUUGAUUGGUUCCUGUGGAGAAGAGAAGGGGUGUGGCAGGUCAGCUCUUCGCUUGAGCAUUUGUCAGGGGCAUCAUUGAGUCACCAAGAGCCCAAGUUCUAUUUUCCCCAAAGCUGGGCUGGGUGACUCGAGAUUCUGUCCUGGACCUGAAAUGGGCCCCCGGCUCUUCUUCUAUGUGGCCCUUUGUCUCCUGGCAGCAGGACACACGGAUGCGGGAAUCACCCAAAACCCAAGACACAAGAUCACAGAGAUAGGAAAGCAGGUGACACUGAGUUGUCACCAGAAUGACAACCACUUCUAUAUGUACUGGUAUCGACAAGACCUGGGACAUGGGCUGAGGCUGAUCUAUUACUCAGUUGAUGCUCAAAGCACUGACAAAGAAGAAGUCGCCGAAGGCUACAAAGUCUCUAGAUCAAACAAAGAGGAUUUCCUCCUUUUUCUGGAGUCUGCUACCCGCUCCCAGACAUCUGUGUACUUCUGUGCCAGCAGUGAAUAA